CCCUUCGGAGCUCAGUGGUAGAGCAAUGGACUAUAAAGGAUAGCAACUAUCCAGAGGGUGCUGGUUCAAUUCAGCCUAAAGGA
Molecule: transfer RNA, 83 nt
Filed under: Xenopus tropicalis (tropical clawed frog)
Lineage: Eukaryota; Metazoa; Chordata; Amphibia; Anura; Pipidae
Description: Xenopus (Silurana) tropicalis (western clawed frog) tRNA
Rfam family: tRNA
About the family: Transfer RNA (tRNA) molecules are approximately 80 nucleotides in length.
Source: Rfam by way of RNAcentral